GUCAGAGUAGCUCAGCUGGUUAGAGCACAGGAUUCAUAACCCUGAGGUCGAGAGUUCAAGUCUCUCCUCUGACA
The sequence is a transfer RNA, 74 nucleotides long. It matches the Rfam family "tRNA". Rfam says of the family: Transfer RNA (tRNA) molecules are approximately 80 nucleotides in length. Their secondary structure includes four short double-helical elements and three loops (D, anti-codon, and T loops). Further hydrogen bonds mediate the characteristic L-shaped molecular structure. tRNAs have two regions of fundamental functional importance: the anti-codon, which is responsible for specific mRNA codon recognition, and the 3' end, to which the tRNAs corresponding amino acid is attached (by aminoacyl-tRNA synthetases). tRNAs cope with the degeneracy of the genetic code in two manners: having more than one tRNA (with a specific anti-codon) for a particular amino acid; and 'wobble' base-pairing, i.e. permitting non-standard base-pairing at the 3rd anti-codon position. The record is from Rfam.